This is a non-coding RNA of Cerrena zonata, 88 nucleotides long. The record is from the annotation of a GenBank genome assembly. Lineage: Eukaryota; Fungi; Basidiomycota; Agaricomycetes; Polyporales; Cerrenaceae.
UCGGAUAUGGUGUAGUGGCUAACAUUAUCGCCUCUCAAAAGGAUUCUCUUGAACGCGAUAGCCCGGGGUUCAAUUCCCCGUAUCCGAA